This 460-nucleotide ribosomal RNA is filed under the name uncultured bacterium. RNAcentral's name for it is "partial 16S ribosomal RNA". It matches the Rfam family "Bacterial small subunit ribosomal RNA", at positions 338 to 795 of the family's 1533-position model. The record is from RNAcentral.
CCUACGGGCGGCAGCAGUGAGGAAUAUUGGUCAAUGGCCGGAAGGCUGAACCAGCCAUGCCGCGUGAAGGUCAGUGCCCUAUGGGCGUUAAACUUCUUUUGUGCGGGAGCAAUAAUGGUCACGUGUGGCCAGACGAGAGUACCGUACGAAUAAGCAUCGGCUAACUCCGUGCCAGCAGCCGCGGUAAUACGGGGGAUGCAGGCGUUAUCCGGAUUUAUUGGGUGUAAAGGGUGCGUAGGCUGUGAGGUAAGUCAGCGGUGAAAUGCCCCCGCUCAACGGGGUGAAGUGCCAUUGAUACUGCCUGGCUGGAAUGCGGAUGCCGUGGGAGGAAUGUGUAGUGUAGCGGUGAAAUGCAUAGAUAUCACACAGAACACCGAUUGCGAAGGCAUCUCACGAAUCCGCGAUUGACGCUGAUGCACGAAAGCGUGGGUAUCAAACAGGAUUAGAUACCCCUGUAGUC